GAUGAACGCUAGCUACAGGCUUAACACAUGCAAGUCGCGGGGCAGCAUGGGGGUUGCUUGCAACUCCCGAUGGCGACCGGCGCACGGGUGAGUAACGCGUAUCCAACCUGCCCUUCACCACGGGAUAACCCGGCGAAAGUCGGACUAAUACCGUAUGUUGUCCAUUGACGGCAUCCGAUUUGGACGAAAGGCUUUGCGGUGAAGGAUGGGGAUGCGUCCGAUUAGCCAGACGGCGGGGUAACGGCCCACCGUGGCUACGAUCGGUAGGGGUUCUGAGAGGAAGGUCCCCCACACUGGAACUGAGACCCGGUCCAGACUCCUACGGGAGGCAGCAGUGAGGAAUAUUGGUCAAUGGGCGUAAGCCUGAACCAGCCAAGUAGCGUGCAGGAUGACGGCCCUAUGGGUUGUAAACUGCUUUUAUGCGGGGAUAAAGUGGCCCACGUGUGGGCUUUUGCAGGUACCGCAUGAAUAAGGACCGGCUAAUUCCGUG
Molecule: ribosomal RNA, 490 nt
Filed under: uncultured bacterium
Lineage: Bacteria
Description: partial 16S ribosomal RNA
Rfam family: Bacterial small subunit ribosomal RNA
Source: RNAcentral